CCCCAACUAUCCCUAUUAAUCAUUACGGUGAUUCAGAAACCAACAAAACAGGACCACCGUCCUAUUUUAUUAUUCCAUGCUAAUGUAUUCAGACGUAAGCCUGCUUUAAACACUCUAAUUUUUUCAAGGUAAAGGUCCUGGUUUCCUACCACGCUAAAUUAAUAACAUGAUAGUUCCCCAGAAGGUAGAAAUUCUACACGCCAGUACAGACAAAAGCCCGACCAACGGUAGAACCCCGAAAUUCAACUACG
RNAcentral lists this ribosomal RNA (251 nucleotides) under uncultured Scutellospora. RNAcentral's name for it is "partial 18S ribosomal RNA". Lineage: Eukaryota; Fungi; Glomeromycota; Glomeromycetes; Diversisporales; Gigasporaceae. The record is from RNAcentral.